UACGUAGGGUGCGAGCGUUAAUCGGAAUUACUGGGCGUAAAGCGUGCGCAGGCGGUUCGUUGUGUCGGUGGUGAAAUCCCCGGGCUUAACCUGGGAAUGGCCAUGGAAACUGGCGAACGCGUGAGUGUGGCAGAGGGGGGUGGAAUUCCGCGUGUAGCAGUGAAAUGCGUAGAGAUGCGGAGGAACACCGAUGGCGAAGGCAGCCCCCUGGGCUAACACUGACGCUCAGGCACGAAAGCGUGGGGAGCAAACAGG
RNAcentral lists this ribosomal RNA (255 nucleotides) under uncultured bacterium. Its description in RNAcentral is "partial 16S ribosomal RNA". It matches the Rfam family "Bacterial small subunit ribosomal RNA", at positions 524 to 776 of the family's 1533-position model. The record is from RNAcentral.